Molecule: ribosomal RNA, 441 nt
Filed under: uncultured bacterium
Lineage: Bacteria
Description: bacterial SSU rRNA
Rfam family: Bacterial small subunit ribosomal RNA
Source: RNAcentral
CCUACGGGUGGCUGCAGUGGGGAAUAUUGCACAAUGGGCGAAAGCCUGAUGCAGCAACGCCGCGUGAGCGAUGAAGGCCUUCGGGUUGUAAAGCUCUGUCUUCGCUGACGAAACCUGACGGUAAGCGAGGAGGAAGCCACGGCUAACUACGUGCCAGCAGCCGCGGUAAUACGUAGGUGGCAAGCGUUGUCCGGAAUUAUUGGGCGUAAAGGAUGCGUAGGCGGCCCUUUAAGUGGGGUGUGAAAUCCCUGGGCCCAACCCAGGAAUUGCACUCCAAACUGGAGGGCUAGAGUGGGGGAGGGGAAAAGGGUAUCCCCAGUGAAGGGGUGAAAGGCGAAGAGAUUGGGAGGAACACCAGUAGAGAAGGCGAUUUUCUGGAAGGAAACUGACGCUGAGGAAUGAAAGCGUGGGGAGAAAAAAGGAUUAGAUACCCUGGUAGUC